AUUGAACGCUGGCGGCAGGCUUAACACAUGCAAGUCGAGCGGAGUGAUGGUGCUUGCACUAUCACUUAGCGGCGGACGGGUGAGUAAUGCUUAGGAAUCUGCCUAUUAGUGGGGGACAACAUCUCGAAAGGGAUGCUAAUACCGCAUACGUCCUACGGGAGAAAGCAGGGGAUCACUUGUGACCUUGCGCUAAUAGAUGAGCCUAAGUCGGAUUAGCUAGUUGGUGGGGUAAAGGCCUACCAAGGCGACGAUCUGUAGCGGGUCUGAGAGGAUGAUCCGCCACCCUGGGACUGAGACACGGCGCAGGCUCCUACGGGCGGCAGCAGUGGGGAAUAUUGGACAAUGGGGGGAACCCUGAUCCAGCCAUGCCGCGUGUGUGAAGAAGGCCUUAUGGUUGUAAAGCACUUUAAGCGAGGAGGAGGCUCUUUUGGUUAAUACCCAAGAUGAGUGGACGUUACUCGCAGAAUAAGCACCGGCUAACUCUGUGCCAGCCGCCGCUGUAA
Molecule: ribosomal RNA, 503 nt
Filed under: uncultured bacterium
Lineage: Bacteria
Description: partial 16S ribosomal RNA
Rfam family: Bacterial small subunit ribosomal RNA
Source: RNAcentral